UACAGGGGUGGCAAGCGUUGUUCGGAAUUACUGGGCGUAAAGGGCGCGUAGGCGGCCUUCUAAGUCAGACGUGAAAUCCCCCGGCUUAACCUGGGAACUGCGUCUGAUACUGGAGGGCUUGAGUGCGGGAGAGGGAUGUGGAAUUCCAGGUGUAGCGGUGAAAUGCGUAGAUAUCGGGAGGAACACCAGUGGCGAAGGCGGCUCUCUGGACCGGUUCUGACGCUCAGGCGCGAAAGCGUGGGGAGCGAUCCGG
RNAcentral lists this ribosomal RNA (253 nucleotides) under uncultured bacterium. RNAcentral's name for it is "partial 16S ribosomal RNA". It matches the Rfam family "Bacterial small subunit ribosomal RNA", at positions 524 to 776 of the family's 1533-position model. The record is from RNAcentral.